UCAGUAACACGUAGUCAACAUGCCCAGGGGACGUGGAUAACCUCGGGAAACUGAGGAUAAACCGCGAUAAGUCACUACUUCUGGAAUGGGUAAUGACUUAAAUCUAUAUGGCCCCUGGAUUGGACUGCGGCCGAUCAGGCUGUUGGUGAGGUAAUGGCCCACCAAACCUGUAACCGGUACGGGCUCUGAGAGGAGGAGCCCGGAGAUGGGCACUGAGACAAGGGCCCAGGCCCUAUGGGGCGCAGCAGGCGCGAAACCUCUGCAAUAGGCGAAAGCCUGACAGGGUUACUCUGAGUGAUUUCCGUUAAGGAGAUCUUUUGGCACCUCUAAAAAUGGUGCAGAAUAAGGGGUGGGCAAGUCUGGUGCCAGC
This 370-nucleotide ribosomal RNA is filed under the name unidentified archaeon. RNAcentral describes it as "bacterial SSU rRNA". It matches the Rfam family "Archaeal small subunit ribosomal RNA", at positions 90 to 462 of the family's 1478-position model. The record is from RNAcentral.